This is a long non-coding RNA of Bos indicus x Bos taurus (hybrid cattle), 1016 nucleotides long. NCBI's taxonomy places the organism in Eukaryota, Metazoa, Chordata, Mammalia, Artiodactyla, Bovidae. The record is from Ensembl.
GCCAACAAACCCUCAGACUUAGUCUCUGUGUAGUUUUUAGAAGAUAAACCACACGUGUUGUGUUAAUAGCUAAAAGGCAGACUCACUUAAGAAAGCAGAAACGGAAGUAUCAAAAUCUAGAGAUUUUCUAAUGAUGUGCUUCUGUGAAGUUUAGCUGCAUUAAUUAAUUUAGCUGGGUUGGGGUGAGUGAGGGCUCUGCCACGUGGUGGCCACUCCAAGAGGCUGGCUCUCCUCUGCUUUCCCUUAGAACAGUCCUCUGUAGAGCCCAAUGGUCAUAAUGUGACCAAUCUCCUGAUUUGUGGUGGAAGUCUCGAGGAAAUCAGGGAAGGAGGGUGAGAAGUAUCCUAGUCCCAGGGAGGACAUUUAGAACAUUGGAUUUUUCUUCCUUGAGCAGGCUUGUGAUGUGUGAUCCCUUCAAGCAGAAAGUGUAGAGGAGUGACCCUGAAGAUGUGUGACCACUCACAUACCACGCAAGACUUCUCGAGACUUCCAGGUUUUCCUUACUGGUAGAGAGCUGGGCAACGGAGCAUACGCACACAAGUUCUCAACUUCUACAGUCUCUUUCUGGUCACAACCAGAAUCUAGUGACUGAAAUCAGAAGAAUUUCACCCACUCCUAAGUGUGGGCAAGACCAGAAAAAAUGUAUAUCAAUCAUCAAGAGUCAAAAACUCGGCUUCAACAAUAUGUCGCUGGUGAGUUUAACAAGCUUCACUUUUGACAUAAACAAAACACAGCAUUGUAGUCUUUCCCCAUCAUACUUUAAGCCUGAUUCAGUGGGAUUAAUUUUCCUCUGCCCCAAGAUGUCAACUCUGGCAGAUCUUAUGCUUUUGCCUCCAGUCUUAUAAAAAAGAUCCUCCAAGGUCACUUUAGGUUGCAAACACAAUCUUAGUUCAGUAAUUAGAAUGUCACGGCGAAGAUGUUAAUCAAAACUUAGAACGUGACAGCAUUCCGUUGUUUGCCUUCCUUCAGCUCUGACUUGCUUCAGGCAUGGUCCUCCUGUCUUUACUCCUUCUCCC